ACAAAGGCUCUUUUAAGAGCCACUCACACCUGCUGAAAAGGCUGA
Xenopus laevis (African clawed frog) is the source of this 45-nucleotide non-coding RNA. The record is from Rfam. Lineage: Eukaryota; Metazoa; Chordata; Amphibia; Anura; Pipidae.